AAGUCGUAACAAGGUCUCCGUAGGUGAACCUGCGGAGGGAUCAUUAACACGUACGGAUAACAAAGUAGAGUGGUAUAUAUGUACUAUAUAUAUGUACUGCCCUACUUUAUUAUUUAUACCAACUCGUGAACGAAACUAUAUGUCCUUCUCCUUAGCGCUGUUACUAACGUAACAUUGCUAAGCUAUGUUUUGUUGUAUUUUUGUCAUACAAACCAACAUCUAAAUUGUAACUAACUAGCAUAAAAGUACACAUAUGUAACACUGUUACUGUGUGUUCUUUUUAUGUCGCAGUUAACGUUUUAACAUUUUAAGCACAACUCUUAGCAACGGAUAUCUCGGUUCUC
RNAcentral lists this unclassified non-coding RNA (344 nucleotides) under fungal sp. Its description in RNAcentral is "partial internal transcribed spacer region". The stretch from base 1 to 46 matches the Rfam family "Eukaryotic small subunit ribosomal RNA", at positions 1786 to 1831 of the family's 1831-position model. The record is from RNAcentral. Lineage: Eukaryota; Fungi.